UUUCCAAAGAGAGGUUUCUCUGCGUGCUUGAGGUAUAAUGCAAGUACGGUCGUUUUAGGUUUUACCAACUGCGGCUAAUCUUUUUUUUAUACUGAGCGUAUUGGAACGUUAUCGAUAAGAAGAGAGCGUCUAGGCGAACAAUGUUCUUAAAGUUUGACCUCAAAUCAGGUAGGAGUACCCGCUGAACUUAAGCAUAUCAAUAAGCGGAGGAAAAGAAACCAACCGGGAUUGCCUUAGUAACGGCGAGUGAAGCGGCAAAAGCUCAAAUUUGAAAUCUGGUACCUUCGGUGCCCGAGUUGUAAUUUGGAGAGGGCAACUUUGGGGCCGUUCCUUGUCUAUGUUCCUUGGAACAGGACGUCAUAGAGGGUGAGAAUCCCGUGUGGCGAGGAGUGCGGUUCUUUGUAAAGUGCCUUCGAAGAGUCGAGUUGUUUGGGAAUGCAGCUCUAAGUGGGUGGUAAAUUCCAUCUAAAGCUAAAUAUUGGCGAGAGACCGAUAGCGAACAAGUACAGUGAUGGAAAGAUGAAAAGAACUGUGAAAAGAGAGUGAAAAAGUACGUGAAAUUGUUGAAAGGGAAGGGCAUUUGAUCAGACAUGGUGUUUUGUGCCCUCUGCUCCUUGUGGGUAGGGGAAUCUCGCAUUUCACUGGGCCAGCAUCAGUUUUGGUGGCAGGAUAAAUCCAUAGGAAUGUAGCUUGCCUCGGUAAGUAUUAUAGCCUGUGGGAAUACUGCCAGCUGGGACUGAGGACUG
RNAcentral lists this ribosomal RNA (746 nucleotides) under Saccharomyces cerevisiae (brewer's yeast). RNAcentral's name for it is "eukaryotic LSU rRNA". The stretch from base 155 to 746 matches the Rfam family "Eukaryotic large subunit ribosomal RNA", at positions 1 to 596 of the family's 3401-position model. Lineage: Eukaryota; Fungi; Ascomycota; Saccharomycetes; Saccharomycetales; Saccharomycetaceae. The record is from RNAcentral.